UACGAGGGGGGCAAGCGUUGUCCGGAUUUAUUGGGCGUAAAGAGCGUGUAGGCGGCCAUACAGGUCAGCUGUGAAAACUCGAGGCUCAACCUCGAGACGUCGGUUGAAACCGUAUGGCUAGAGUCCGGAAGAGGAGAGUGGAAUUCCCGGUGUAGCGGUGAAAUGCGCAGAUAUCGGGAAGAACACCCGUGGCGAAGGCGGCUCUCUGGGACGGUACUGACGCUGAGACGCGAAAGCGUGGGGAGCGAACGAGG
Molecule: ribosomal RNA, 254 nt
Filed under: uncultured bacterium
Lineage: Bacteria
Description: partial 16S ribosomal RNA
Rfam family: Bacterial small subunit ribosomal RNA
Source: RNAcentral